Molecule: unclassified non-coding RNA, 353 nt
Filed under: soil metagenome
Description: partial contains 5.8S ribosomal RNA, internal transcribed spacer 2, and large subunit ribosomal RNA
Rfam family: 5.8S ribosomal RNA (bases 1-120)
Source: RNAcentral
GAUGAAGAACGUAGCGAAAUGCGAUAAGUAAUGUGAAUUGCAGAAUUCAGUGAAUCAUCGAAUCUUUGAACGCACAUUGCGCCCGCCAGUAUUCUGGCGGGUAUGCCUGUUCGAGCGUCAUUACAACCCUCAGGCCCCCGGGCCUGGCGUUGGGGAUCGGCGGAAGCCCCCUGCGGGCACAACGCCGUCCCCCAAAUACAGUGGCGGUCCCGCCGCAGCUUCCAUUGCGUAGUAGCUAACACCUCGCAACUGGAGAGCGGCGCGGCCACGCCGUAAAACACCCAACGUCUGAAUGUUGACCUCGAAUCAGGUAGGAAUACCCGCUGAACUUAAGCAUAUCAAUAAGCGGAGGA